Molecule: ribosomal RNA, 268 nt
Filed under: uncultured Rhodobacter sp.
Lineage: Bacteria; Pseudomonadati; Pseudomonadota; Alphaproteobacteria; Rhodobacterales
Description: partial 16S ribosomal RNA
Rfam family: Bacterial small subunit ribosomal RNA
Source: RNAcentral
GCUGGCGGCAGGCUUAACACAUGCAAGUCGAGCGCACCUUCGGGUGAGCGGCGGACGGGUGAGUAACGCGUGGGAACGUGCCCUUCUCUGCGGAAUAGCCUCGGGAAACUGAGAGUAAUACCGCAUACGCCCUUCGGGGGAAAGAUUUAUCGGGGAAGGAUCGGCCCGCGUUGGAUUAGGUAGUUGGUGGGGUAAUGGCCUACCAAGCCGACGAUCCAUAGCUGGUUUGAGAGGAUGAUCAGCCACACUGGGACUGAGACACGGCCCA